AACAAUCAGUAUGGUUUCAGAGAAUAUGAGAAUAUUUGUUAAUAAAAAACAUUCAAAAUUUAUCUCUGCUUCUCUUUCUCCAACGCGAUUUAGUAUAGGGAAAUCUACUACGUUAAUCAAAUAAGGUUAGGUCUUGGGAUUUGACUCUUGUGGAUGACAAUUAAGUU
This is a long non-coding RNA of Cotesia glomerata, 167 nucleotides long. RefSeq lists it as uncharacterized. Lineage: Eukaryota; Metazoa; Arthropoda; Insecta; Hymenoptera; Braconidae. The record is from RefSeq and is a predicted model, not a curated record. The transcript is spliced from 3 exons.